UACUGAUUCCCGAAGGGUGUUUGUUCCCGCCGGGAUGAGGGAAUGUAAAAAACAAACUGCACCCGGAGAAGUUCCUAACAAGUUGCUUUCGGACAGGGGUUCGAUUCCCCUCGGCUCCACCA
Molecule: transfer-messenger RNA, 122 nt
Filed under: Oscillospiraceae bacterium
Lineage: Bacteria; Bacillati; Bacillota; Clostridia; Eubacteriales; Oscillospiraceae
Description: partial transfer-messenger RNA
Rfam family: transfer-messenger RNA
About the family: Bacterial tmRNA, also known as 10Sa RNA or SsrA, is named for its dual tRNA and mRNA-like properties. Its role is to liberate the mRNA from a stalled ribosome.
Source: RNAcentral